CUAUCACCUACAAUCUUCCAUGAGGUCACAGGCUGGGGAGUGCCUCCCCAUCUUUAGAGAGAGCAGUCACGAUCCGAUGGGAACAAUGUGGCCUGGCUGCCGCCCACCCAAGAGCUGAGCAGCAGGUCUGAGUGGCCGACGGCCUAAGUCAGUUGCCACUCUCUCAAGCAGGUCAGGAUUGUGCUCGUCAGUUGACGAAGUUUCUCUUACAAAAGGAACCUCGGCGCUUCCCUAUUUGCCCCAGUAUUUAGAGAAAACAAUCUGAAUGUUUUCAGGCCAUUCUGGAGAGAGGAGCCAAGGGCAUCAGAGCCAAACCCGGACCCCGUUAGAUCGUCAAACCCCUUCUAUUACUCAAGACAGGUGUUUGAUCUCUGAGGAGUGCUUUCAACACAGAAGCCAUUAAAGAUCACAGACAGUAAGAGACAUGGGCCCAUGUAAUGACAGGCCAGCAGAUGAAGAGUGGACGGGCUCGGUCACAAACUUGCUGGGUGACCCUGGGUUCUCCACUUUUAACAACUCAUGGGAUUAGACCAGCCCCCACUGGAUAAUCAGGAUAGCUGCCUCAUCUCCAGGUGCAUAACUCCGAUCAUAUCUGCAAAGUCCCUUUUGCCACCUAAGAUCUUUGUGCAACAGCUUACCUAUUAGAAUGAUCUUGAACAUACAUCUGUCUCUUCUGACCAGGAGCUAAAAACAAAGGACUUAUUUGAAGCAGGUAGAGAAUGGCCUCACACGUCUCCACCCCCAUCAGGAGGAACCUCACUGGAAUGCAAAACUACAGCGAGUUUCUCUCCCUGACAAUCCUUGAGAAGAGGAAACAUCAAGAGUAAUUACAUCGAGAGUGUGAUGCAGGAGAAAUUCCUUUAAAAAACACACACACAGAUGGACACAUCUGAGGGAAUGAGGAGUGUUAAAAAAAAACAAAAAACAAAAAACCAACAACAACAAAACCAACACAUGCACACUGUUGAUUGAAAUUUACCAUUUUGGAACUGUCCAAAAAUCUCUUGCUGCCAGGGACAUGUCAGAAAAACACAAAAUAAACUGCCGUGGCGGUCCAACUUGGGGUACGACAAAGUGAAUGAGAGAAACGUGGUUCCUGACUUUCCAACAGAGUGAUUUCCUUAAACUCCCCAAACAUAAAAACCAGCAAGAACACAAUUAGAAGGAAAAUUCAAGGAAAAAAAGUAUCAUUUUUUAAGAAGUUUCACUAUAUGUUAAUUGGAUCUCAAUAAAACAGAAAGAAAAAAAUGUUUCAGUUGUAACAUAGCAGUUAUAGAACACAAAAGGCAAAAUCCACUCAUUCAUCCAAUAACUGCUAAUUGUCCUUCAAAGAGCUGGCAGAUGCCGUGCUAGGCUUUAGGACACAAGCGAACUGGUAAAUAACAAAAACAGCAACUUUGAGUUUCAUUGUUUACAAAGGAUUUUUACAUACAUAAUCACACUCCUCCUCACAAUGAUCCCAUUUUACAGAUAAGGCAAGUGAGAUCCCAAAAGAAUCAAUUAAUGGCCAAGAGGAGCAGGAGGAUGAAUUCACACUCAAGUGAGACUCUUUAACCUCUUCCACUUAUGGAUUUUGCCCUGAAGACUCUUCUUCACCCCGAUUUCUAACUCCCAGUCUCCAAAUCUCCUUCCACUGUAGCAGGAUCUUCUACAGUGUCGA
Molecule: long non-coding RNA, 1660 nt
Organism: Panthera uncia (snow leopard)
Lineage: Eukaryota; Metazoa; Chordata; Mammalia; Carnivora; Felidae
Exons: 3
Source: RefSeq, a predicted model, not a curated record